GUCCGCUAAACAGGUUGUUGGAGAGGUCAAAAAUUCGCAGCUUUGAGAAUGAAUAAUUGGCAGAGGUCCCUUUCACCCAACCAUGAAAUCUAUUGGAUUUUAGAAUUAGAAUUUGUAGCUUCGAAAGUGUUUCCAGAAAAUGGGGGAAUGUGUCAUCUAUAUUAUUGUUUCCGAGAUCUAAAAUUUCCAAAUUUAUACAAUUGGAGAUGGAAGGUGGGA
This 219-nucleotide unclassified non-coding RNA is filed under the name Hevea brasiliensis (rubber tree). Lineage: Eukaryota; Viridiplantae; Streptophyta; Magnoliopsida; Malpighiales; Euphorbiaceae. The record is from RNAcentral.